CUACGGGUCGCAGCAGUCGAGAAUCUUUAGCAAUGGGGGAAACCCUGACUAUGCGACGCCGCGUGUGUGAUGAAGAUCUUCGGAUCGUAAAACACUGUCAGCCCUGAAAAAUAUCUUCGCGUUAACAGCGCGAAGGCUUGAUUGUAAGGGCAGAGGAAGCCACGGCUAACUCCGUGCCAGCAGCCGCGGUAAUACGGAGGUGGCAAGCGUUGUUCGGAUUUACUGGGUGUAAAGGGCAUGUAGGCGUCCCUUCAAGUUCCGAUUGAAAUCCUUCGGCUCAACCGGAGAACGCGUCGGAAUACUGUCGGGAUUGAGUGCGGGAGAGGAAAAGGGAAUUCCCGGUGUAAGGGUGAAAUCUGUAGAUAUCGGGAGGAACACCAGUGGCGAAGGCGCUUUUCUGGACCGUUACUGACGCUGAAAUGCGAAAGCAAGGGGAGCAAACAGGAUUAGAUACCCGUGUAGUC
Molecule: ribosomal RNA, 464 nt
Filed under: uncultured bacterium
Lineage: Bacteria
Description: partial 16S ribosomal RNA
Rfam family: Bacterial small subunit ribosomal RNA
Source: RNAcentral